This 308-nucleotide ribosomal RNA is filed under the name uncultured bacterium. Its description in RNAcentral is "partial 16S ribosomal RNA". It matches the Rfam family "Bacterial small subunit ribosomal RNA", at positions 505 to 807 of the family's 1533-position model. The record is from RNAcentral.
GAGACAGCAGUAGCCGCGGGAAUACGUAGGUGGCAAGCGUUGUCCGGAAUUAUUGGGCGUAAAGCGCGCGCAGGUGGUUUAAUAAGUCUGAUGUGAAAGCCCACGGCUCAACCGUGGAGGGUCAUUGGAAACUGUUAAACUUGAGUGCAGGAGAGGGAAGUGGAAUUCCUAGUGUAGCGGUGAAAUGCGUAGAGAUUAGGAGGAACACCAGUGGCGAAGGCGGCUUUUUGGCCUGUAACUGACACUGAGGCGCGAAAGCGUGGGGAGCAAACAGGAUUAGAUACCCCAGUAGUCCCUGUCUCUUAUAC